UGGGCAAUGAUGUAGGCCGGC
Molecule: microRNA, 21 nt
Filed under: Salicornia europaea (common glasswort)
Lineage: Eukaryota; Viridiplantae; Streptophyta; Magnoliopsida; Caryophyllales; Amaranthaceae
Description: seu-miR11026
Source: miRBase by way of RNAcentral